CAGGAAGGCCAAGCGGACAAAGGAGCACACGCCCAGGGAGGCUCCGGGUCCCCAACUUAAAAGGGCCUUGACAAAUAACAGCUGUUCCUGUCCAACAAGCCCCUCUGUAGCUCAUUCCUUCACUGACCAUCCACUGAGCAUCUCUGUGCUCUGCAGGAACGGUGCCAGGGACCUCUUGGGUAACCAGAGGAAAACACAAGUCUUGCCCCUUGGGAAAACUGGAGAGCUAGAUAGUACCAGAUGAAAACAUCUGAGAACAGAGCGCUGACAGGUAAGCAGGAAUGGUCAGGUGGUGCUGGCCCUGGGCCUGCUGUAUGAGUGCCUUCCCACUCACUUGGCUGCGCACAGAUCUACUGGGAUCUGCCAGGGAGGAAGUUGCAGCCCACGGUGCUCCCAAAGCUCAGCAAGGAGGAAAUAGAGGCUUAGGUACCCAGCGGCCUCCAAGUCACACCUAGACCUGCCAGCAGCUCCCUGUCAGGCCCACAUGAACAAACGACCACCUUUGAUCACCUGUGUUCAUGACCCUCUUUCUGCUCUGGUCAAGUCAUCAUUCUCCAGAAUCCGAUCUGGCUUCCCACAUUCCACUGCCGCUUACACAGAGGCAGUACAUUCCUCACAGCAAGUGCUAAACCUGGCUAUAAUCUGAAUUUACUGCGAAACUUACAAAAGGUACAGACACCCAGGCUCCAUCUACCCCAGCCCACUGAAUCUGAAUCAGCUAGGCCCAGAACCAUGGCUAAAAUGAAAGGCUGUGGACUGGAAGUGGAAAGUCCUGGGUCCUGGUCUCUGAAUUCUGUGAUAAAACUACCCAUGUGACUGCAGGAAGUCUUCUCUCCAGCCUGGCCCAGGGUGGUAAGGACUCCAUACAAGAAACAGCUGAGCCCCGGGUGCCUUCCCUCCUCUGAGCCUCAGUCCCCACACUUGUGAGUGAGAGGGGCUGGAGUUUCAGUGCCAAGAACGGUGCAGCUCCCCAGGGAGGCUGAGAGUCACACUGGUGAUUUCUUCCUCCCCUUCAGUGGUUCAGAGCUCUCCUGGGAGUGGU
This 1042-nucleotide long non-coding RNA is filed under the name Homo sapiens (human). RNAcentral describes it as "non-protein coding lnc-NMT1-3:1". Lineage: Eukaryota; Metazoa; Chordata; Mammalia; Primates; Hominidae. The record is from RNAcentral.